UACAGAGGGGGCAAGCGUUGUUCGGAAUUACUGGGCGUAAAGGGCGCGUAGGCGGCCCGCUAAGUCGAACGUGAAAUCCCCGAGCUCAACUCGGGAACUGCGUCCGAUACUGGCGGGCUUGAAUCCGGGAGAGGGAUGCGGAAUUCCAGGUGUAGCGGUGAAAUGCGUAGAUAUUGGGAAGAACACCGGUGGCGAAGGCGGCUCACUGGCUCGUUACUGACGCUCAGGCACGACAGCGUGGGGAUCAAACAGG
RNAcentral lists this ribosomal RNA (253 nucleotides) under uncultured bacterium. RNAcentral's name for it is "partial 16S ribosomal RNA". It matches the Rfam family "Bacterial small subunit ribosomal RNA", at positions 524 to 776 of the family's 1533-position model. The record is from RNAcentral.